RNAcentral lists this long non-coding RNA (1307 nucleotides) under Anas platyrhynchos platyrhynchos (common mallard). RNAcentral describes it as "lncRNA (ENSAPLG00000027241.1)". The record is from RNAcentral. Lineage: Eukaryota; Metazoa; Chordata; Aves; Anseriformes; Anatidae.
CCAGAAUUGGGAGUGGGGCUGGGGGGCAGCCGAGGGAGGGCUGGUUUGGGGAGGGGGCGGAAAACCCCUCGGGGGAGGGAGGUGGUUGUUAACGGGGCGCCGCUCCGGCAUUGGGAUAAAUCAAUAGAUAGGUGCAUCAAUAAAUAGGCGGCCCCGCAACCUCCAUCUGCAGCCCCCCCUCCUCGCUUUCCCCUCAUCCCCCCCCCCCUCCCCGCCCCGCGUAGCUCUAAAACUUAUAGUGCGCCCAAAGAAGUCCCUGAUUUAUGGAGUUUCCUAAUGCUAACUGAAUACUGUCUGUCAGGCAGCGCUGAAAGGCUCUCCGCACUAAUACAAGAAAAGGCUUUGUGUUGCUAAGCGAUUAGAGCAGAUGUAAUGAGAUUUACCCCAAUCCUGCUUUGCCCUUUCCCUAUCUUCAGUAAAAUUGUGUGUGUGUGUUUUCUUUCUUUCUUUCUUUUGGGGAGGGGGCUGAGGGGAAAAGGGAGGGAGGAGGUGGUGAAUUUCUGAGCCUGCCUUAUACAUUGUAGCGAACAACAGCGUAACUUUGCCUUUAGUUUAAUGAGUCUGGAUAUUUACUAUUCAGAAGUGAGCAAAAAAGAACACCUGUCUACACAAGGAAGAGAAAUUUCGCCUUUGUAACAGAAUGAAACAUUAUCCUAAUGUUAUAUUCAUAGCUAUAAAUUACUCGCUGCACUUUCUUUGCAUACCUUAUCUGCACACUUGCAAAAGUGGGUAAAUAAAAAGGAGAUGCUGUAAAGGGAGAGCGGACGGCGGCGUAUAACGGUUAUUAUUUUCAUAACUAAACAUUACUUCCACGAGCGGUUAAAACAACGAGUGUUUGUGCCGCACCAAGGAGGGAAUCCGUGACCCCAGUCCCCUUCCCCGGUUCCCCGGGUUAAAUCCCAUAUGGAUCAUUUCGGGCCGUGGGGGAGGAGACGAGGAGGCAAAGGGGAGAACACUUUUGGGGCGAUGCGGAGAGGCCUGGACACUGAUCCGUGCGUGGAUGUUUGUGCCACUGUGUGCCCGCACGACGCGCGUGUGUGCACACUGAUUUACAGGCGUACAGCCCCAAAACCCGGGUGGUGCACCGAAGUUUUUCCCUCCUCUUUUCCAAACCGGUGCAUCCCUUGCAGCUCGGAGGCACGUAACUCCGUACGGCACACUGGCUCUCCCCCACACCCCCUUUUUUUUUUUUUUUUUUUUUUUUCUGAUCAUUUUAAUUAAAAAAAGUUUUAUUACGAAACUAGUUUGUAUAAAACAGGGUUAUACAGGACCUUUGUAAGUUUGUAAUAAAACAGUAAGAAAAGGCA